Molecule: ribosomal RNA, 701 nt
Filed under: Clostridioides difficile
Lineage: Bacteria; Bacillati; Bacillota; Clostridia; Peptostreptococcales; Peptostreptococcaceae
Description: bacterial SSU rRNA
Rfam family: Bacterial small subunit ribosomal RNA
Source: RNAcentral
UCGGUGCCGCAGCUAACGCAUUAAGUACUCCGCCUGGGAAGUACGCUCGCAAGAGUGAAACUCAAAGGAAUGGACGGGGACCCGCACAAGUAGCGGAGCAUGUGGUUUAAUUCGAAGCAACGCGAAGAACCUUACCUAAGCUUGACAUCCCAAUGACAUCUCCUUAAUCGGAGAGUUCCCUUCGGGGACAUUGGUGACAGGUGGUGCAUGGUUGUCGUCAGCUCGUGUCGUGAGAUGUUGGGUUAAGUCCCGCAACGAGCGCAACCCUUGUCUUUAGUUGCCAUCAUUAAGUUGGGCACUCUAGAGAGACUGCCAGGGAUAACCUGGAGGAAGGUGGGGAUGACGUCAAAUCAUCAUGCCCCUUAUGCUUAGGGCUACACACGUGCUACAAUGGGUAGUACAGAGGGUUGCCAAGCCGUAAGGUGGAGCUAAUCCCUUAAAGCUACUCUCAGUUCGGAUUGUAGGCUGAAACUCGCCUACAUGAAGCUGGAGUUACUAGUAAUCGCAGAUCAGAAUGCUGCGGUGAAUGCGUUCCCGGGUCUUGUACACACCGCCCGUCACACCACGGGAGUUGGAGACGCCCGAAGCCGAUUAUCUAACCUUUUGGAAGAAGUCGUCGAAGGUGGAAUCAAUAACUGGGGUGAAGUCGUAACAAGGUAGCCGUAUCGGAAGGUGCGGCUGGAUCACCUCCUUUCUAAGGA